RNAcentral lists this ribosomal RNA (301 nucleotides) under uncultured bacterium. RNAcentral's name for it is "partial 16S ribosomal RNA". It matches the Rfam family "Bacterial small subunit ribosomal RNA", at positions 509 to 807 of the family's 1533-position model. The record is from RNAcentral.
CAGUCGCCACGGUAAUACAGAGGGUGCAAGCGUUAAUCGGAAUUACUGGGCGUAAAGCGUGCGCAGGCGGUUCGUUAAGACAGAUGUGAAAUCCCCGGGCUUAACCUGGGAACUGCAUUUGUGACUGGCGAGCUAGAGUAUGGCAGAGGGGGGUAGAAUUCCACGUGUAGCAGUGAAAUGCGUAGAGAUGUGGAGGAAUACCGAUGGCGAAGGCAGCCCCCUGGGCCAAUACUGACGCUCAUGCACGAAAGCGUGGGGAGCAAACAGGAUUAGAGACCCCUGUAGUCCCUGUCUCUUAUAC